RNAcentral lists this ribosomal RNA (805 nucleotides) under uncultured organism. RNAcentral describes it as "SSU rRNA". It matches the Rfam family "Bacterial small subunit ribosomal RNA", at positions 28 to 803 of the family's 1533-position model. The record is from RNAcentral.
GACGAACGCUGGCGGCGUGCUUAACACAUGCAAGUCGAACGAAGAGCGAUGGAAGCUUGCUUCUAUCAAUCUUAGUGGCGAACGGGUGAGUAACGCGUAAUCAACCUGCCCUUCAGAGGGGGACAACAGUUGGAAACGACUGCUAAUACCGCAUACGAUCUAACCUCGGCAUCGAGGAUAGAUGAAAGUUGGCCUCUAUUUAUAAGCUAUCACUGAAGGAGGGGAUUGCGUCUGAUUAGCUAGUUGGAGGGGUAACGGCCCACCAAGGCGAUGAUCAGUAGCCGGUCUGAGAGGAUGAACGGCCACAUUGGGACUGAGACACGGCCCAGACUCCUACGGGAGGCAGCAGUGGGGAAUCUUCCGCAAUGGACGAAAGUCUGACGGAGCAACGCCGCGUGAGUGAUGACGGCCUUCGGGUUGUAAAGCUCUGUUAAUCGGGACGAAAGGCCUUCUUGCGAAUAGUUAGAAGGAUUGACGGUACCGGAAUAGAAAGCCACGGCUAACUACGUGCCAGCAGCCGCGGUAAUACGUAGGUGGCAAGCGUUGUCCGGAAUUAUUGGGCGUAAAGCGCGCGCAGGCGGAUUGGUCAGUCUGUCUUAAAAGUUCGGGGCUUAACCCCGUGAUGGGAUGGAAACUGCCAAUCUAGAGUAUCGGAGAGGAAAGUGGAAUUCCUAGUGUAGCGGUGAAAUGCGUAGAUAUUAGGAAGAACACCAGUGGCGAAGGCGACUUUCUGGACGAAAACUGACGCUGAGGCGCGAAAGCCAGGGGAGCGAACGGGAUUAGAUACCCCGGUAGUCCUGGCCGU